GCUGGCGGCGUGCCUAAUACAUGCAAGUCGAGCGGUAGCAGGGCUUCACCGUUCUCUUGUCACACUUGGCUUAUUAGCAAGUUGGUUGAUACGAGGGAACAGUGAAGCUGCUGACGAGCGGCGGACGGCUGAGUAACGCGUGGGAACGUACCCCAAAGUAAGGGAUAACUAGUCGAAAGAUUAGCUAAUACCGUAUGUGAUCUUCGGAUUAAAGAAUUUAUUCGCUUUGGGAACGGCCUGCGUACGAUUAGAUAGUUGGUAGGGUAAUGGCCUACCAAGUCGACGAUCGUUAGAUGGUUUGAGAGGAUGAUCAUCCAGACUGGGACUGAGACACGGCCCAGACUCCUACGGGAGGCAGCAGUAGGGAAUCUUUCACAAUGGGCGAAAGCCUGAUGGAGCAACGCCGCGUGCAGGAUGACGGCCUUCGGGUUGUAAACUGCUUUUAUAAGCGAGAAAUAUGAUGGUAACUUAUGAAUAAGGAUCGGCUAACUACGUGCC
This 498-nucleotide ribosomal RNA is filed under the name uncultured organism. RNAcentral describes it as "SSU rRNA". It matches the Rfam family "Bacterial small subunit ribosomal RNA", at positions 35 to 509 of the family's 1533-position model. The record is from RNAcentral.